This is a non-coding RNA of Dallia pectoralis (Alaska blackfish), 85 nucleotides long. Lineage: Eukaryota; Metazoa; Chordata; Actinopteri; Esociformes; Umbridae. The record is from the annotation of a GenBank genome assembly.
GGAAGCUUACCCAAGUGGUUGAAGGGGUCAGUCUUGAAAACUGAGAGGCAUCAAAAGUGCGCGGGGUUCGAAUCCUCAGCUUCCA